This 2256-nucleotide ribosomal RNA is filed under the name Triticum aestivum (bread wheat). RNAcentral's name for it is "partial small subunit ribosomal RNA". Lineage: Eukaryota; Viridiplantae; Streptophyta; Magnoliopsida; Poales; Poaceae. The record is from RNAcentral.
AUGAGGUUCAUGAUGCGGAUGACUCCUCUUGCUUCUUCGGCUCGUACUCAAGUUCCCCAGUACAAUGUCGUGGAACCCUUUUACUCUCCUCAACCCUUGCAACAUCCCCGCAUUAAUCCUGUUGGGCCUCCGCCCCCUUUGAAAGCUAAUGCAUUUGCUAAGUGGAAGCUAGAUAUGGAGUCUCACAUGCGUAGUGCUUCAACUCAAUUGUGGUGGAUUGUGGAAAUUUGGGAUUGCCUUGAGGAGGCUCUUGAAGGAGAUGAAGCAAUUCGAAGAUCUCGGUUGGCCUUGCUCAAACAAGAAGUCAAUCUCUUUGUGAGGAAUGAGGGUGAGUCCACAGAAGAGGUUUACCGAAGGUUGAUGUCCCUUGUGCUCAACUUGAGAACCUUUGGGUGCACUUGGGCAAAUGAUGAAUUCAUCAAGGACAAGUUCAUAGAUGCUAUGGUUCUCACAGAACAUACCAUGGUCAUGAUGGUUUCUGGUUCUGAAGAGGUGGGGCGGGGGGGGGGGCUCGGGUUCAUUCCCACCCAUUCGCCCCCCUCCUCUCCCAAGGAAGCCUCCAGCGCCGCCGCCGUCGCCUCCACUCGCCGGAGCUCCUCCGGGCUUUGUCGGAGUUCUUCCUCCAUGGAUCUGGAUCCAGAUGAGGUCCUCCUCCGGUUGGUCUUGUCUCCUUUGUCUAUCUCCUUAUACUCCGCUGACAAGAGGUCGGAGCUUCGUCGCAAGCGUGCAAAAGGAGGAUCAAAGGACUUCAUCAUUGCUCGUCGUCAGCCGUCUGAAGACAUGGGUCAGGGGUCUAGGACAGGUCAGGGCCAUGCUCGCCGUGCAACCUCAAAGCGGCCCGUUGUUGAGGCUUUCGAUGAAUCUGAGGAAGAAUAUGACUCACAAGAUGAUGCGAUAGAAGAAGAAGAUGUCGUGGUGAGGAGUAUGAAGAAGAGGAAGAGGAGUCUAGUCCGGAGGAAGCCACUUCGGGCAGGCCAAAGAAUCUAUCAUGAGAUUCUUAUGACCAAGUCAAAGAAGUUUGCUCCUCACAAGCAAGUCAACACUGAGAGUCUGCGCGACAAUGAUCAUUUGUAUCCCGGUGUGUACUCCGCUCUUGGACGACUGGGUCUGAUUCCAUUUGUCACUUUCAACCACCCCUACAAUGAAGAUCUAGUGAUGCAGUUCUUUGCCACUCUGUACUUCUCCAAUGAUUCUGCUCGCACCCUCACAUGGAUGUCCGGAACGCAUCAGUGCUCAGCUCCUAUGGCAAAGUUCUCCGAGAUCAUUCCCUACCUGUUCAUGGAUGAAGAGACUGUUUCUGAUGAGUUUGGCAUUGUUCGGGAAAGUGGGCAGCGCACUAAGGAUGAGAUUGCCUUUGCUUACAAACAAGAGAAGUCGUUUGUCACUGGGUCAAUCAAAGACCUCUUGCCCCUCUAUGACACCAUGCGCCAUAUCCUGCGGUAUACCCUCACUCCAAAGGCUGGGGAUUCCCAUAACAUUCGGAGCUCCAUGCUUGAUGUCUUUGUGUAUCUUCAUCAGAAGAAGAAAGUGGAUCUUCUAGAUUUCAUGUACUACAAGCUGCAUCAGUGUGUACAAGAGAACAAGUCUUUGAUCUAUGCUCCAUUCAUACAGGCGUUGAUUGAGACCGUUUGUCCAGCAAAGUACAUUGCCAGCUUCAAGACUUCUGUUCCCAAGCGCAACUCCAACUGGCCCCCAGCCGCUCCUGCUCCCUAUGUGCCCAUCAAGAAGGGGCGCAACCCUAGGCCCGAGGAUCAUGCUACUUACACUCCAGGCAUGUCCUCUACUGCAUGGAUCCCUCGUGGUAAGGCCAAGUCUGUUGGCUCUGAGGCCAUCUUUGCCAAGGGAGAGAAGAAGUCGUUGUUCAAGACCUUGAGCAACAUGUUCAAGAUGUCAAAUAUCGUUGACGACCGCGCCAACUCCCAUGACGACCCCAACACCGCCGCCAAGCCGACGGCGGUGGCAGCUGGGAGGACGCAGUAUGAAUUGCUCGGUGUGGGUGCCGGGGCGACUAGGGGCGAGAUCAAGGUGGCGUACCGGCGUCUGGCCAGGAAGGUGCACCCGGACGCUGCUGGUGGUGGCGACGACGAGGGGUUCAUCCGGCUGCACACGGCCUACGCCACGCUCGCCGACCCCGACGAGCGCGCACGCUACGACCGUGACGUGGCCUGCCGCACCGCGGGAAUGAUGAUGCGGCGGGCGGCGGCGGCCGGGCCGACGUUUCAGUGGAGGACAUGGGAGGCCGACCAGUGCUGGUAG